RNAcentral lists this ribosomal RNA (607 nucleotides) under uncultured bacterium. RNAcentral's name for it is "bacterial SSU rRNA". It matches the Rfam family "Bacterial small subunit ribosomal RNA", at positions 333 to 932 of the family's 1533-position model. The record is from RNAcentral.
AGACUCCUACGGGAGGCAGCAGUGGGGAAUUUUGCGCAAUGGGGGAAACCCUGACGCAGCAACGCCGCGUGAGUGACGAAGGCCUUCGGGUUGUAGAGCUCUGUCAGUUGGGAAGAAAUGCCUAUGUUAACUGCAUAGGCUAUGACGGUACCUUCAAAGGAAGCACCGGCUAACUCCGUGCCAGCAGCCGCGGUAAUACGGAGGGUGCAAGCGUUGUUCGGAUUUACUGGGCGUAAAGAGCGUGUAGGUGGUAUUAUAAGUCAGAUGUGAAAGCCCUCGGCUCAACCGAGGAAGUGCAUUUGAUACUGUAGAACUUGAGUACGGGAGAGGAAAGUGGAAUUCCUAGUGUAGAGGUGAAAUUCGCAGAUAUUAGGAAGAACACCGGUGGCGAAGGCGACUUUCUGGACCGAUACUGACACUGAGACGCGAAAGCGUGGGGGAGCAAACAGGAUUAGAUACCCUGGUAGUCCACGCCGUAACGAUGAAUACUAAGGUGGUUGGGGGCAUUAAAACCUUCAGUGCCGCAGCUAACGCAUUAAGUAUUCCGCCUGGGGGAGUACGGUCGCAAGACUAAACUCAAAGGAAUUGACGGGGGCCGGCACAGCGG